GGCCGAGUGGCCUAGUGGUAAGGCGUCGCUUUCCGGCGGCGAAGAUCGGGUGUUCGAAUCGCUCCUCGGUCG
RNAcentral lists this transfer RNA (72 nucleotides) under Aspergillus nidulans. Its description in RNAcentral is "tRNA-Arg". It matches the Rfam family "tRNA". Rfam says of the family: Transfer RNA (tRNA) molecules are approximately 80 nucleotides in length. RNAcentral also lists the same sequence under 1 other name. Lineage: Eukaryota; Fungi; Ascomycota; Eurotiomycetes; Eurotiales; Aspergillaceae. The record is from RNAcentral.